Molecule: ribosomal RNA, 332 nt
Filed under: uncultured Blastopirellula sp.
Lineage: Bacteria; Pseudomonadati; Planctomycetota; Planctomycetia; Pirellulales; Pirellulaceae
Description: bacterial SSU rRNA
Rfam family: Bacterial small subunit ribosomal RNA
Source: RNAcentral
UGCGUAGGCUGCGCUAUAAGUCGGGUGUGAAAUCCCUCAGCUCAACUGAGGAACUGCGCCCGAUACUGUAGUGCUUGAGGAGGAUAGAGGUGAGCGGAACUAGCAGUGGAGCGGUGAAAUGCGUUGAUAUUGCUGGGAACACCCGUGGCGAAAGCGGCUCACUGGGUCCUUUCUGACGCUGAGGCACGAAAGCUAGGGGAGCGAACGGGAUUAGAUACCCCGGUAGUCCUAGCCGUAAACGAUGAGCACUAGAUCGGGGAGACCUCCACAUCUUCCCGAUCGUAGCGAAAGUGUUAAGUGCUCCGCCUGGGGAGUAUGGUCGCAAGGCUGAA